This 217-nucleotide long non-coding RNA is filed under the name Lathyrus oleraceus (garden pea). RNAcentral describes it as "Pisum sativum (pea) long non-coding RNA (PSAT_LNC038512)". The record is from RNAcentral. Lineage: Eukaryota; Viridiplantae; Streptophyta; Magnoliopsida; Fabales; Fabaceae.
ACGAUUUGUUUGACUGUCGUGUAGAAGACAGACUUAACCAAUGUUUAGCAAUAACAUCGGAUCCUACACAAUGCCUCAAGAAACCAACCCUUGACCUGAAAACACUUCCCAAAAAUCUGAGAUAUGAAUUCCUAGACUUAGAACUUGAACGACCAUUGAUAGUAAAUGCAGACCUAGGAAAACUUGAAACCGAAAAACUCCUACAUAUCUUAAGAAA